UCAUGUUGACACAAACACAAGGGUGAGUAACCCUAUUGCUAUCAAAGACCGUUCAAUUUCUCAAUUUCCACCAAGUCCAGAAGACACCUGAAAUACCAACUAUUAUCAAAUCUUCAUCAUUUUUAUUAAACUUCUUAAUCUAGGAGUCAAACAAAACGUUCACAUUAUCUGGGAUAUUUAACAUGUUGAGAGCAGAUUCCAAGUAUUCCACAACAACUUAGCAAGUGAGCAAUGAAAAAAAGAUGAGUAAUAUCCUCUUCUCUUCAACAAAAAGAACACUUCUUGUUGUCCGUAGUCCACCCCCUACGCAACAAAUUAUCUUUAGUGAGAAUGCCAUUUUUCAGAAUCGGCCACAUGAACACCUUAACACGCGUGGGAAUUUUAGCCUUCCAUAUAAAUUUAUGUGGUACUUGUAACCAUUUUGUAUCAUGAAUUUAUACCAAGAUUUAACUCUAUAUUCCCUAUUUUUAGUCAAAGACCAAUUAGUCACAUCUUUUUGAUCAGUCAGGGUCACAUCUUCAUAGGUUCUUUUAAUAUGAUUCUAUAGUUCCAAGGAUUCUUCAUGUAAGGUUCUUCUGAACCUACCGUUUUGUAACCCUUGGUCAAAGGUUUCUGCCACACACUUGUUUUUGUCAAAACAUAUACUCCCUUCAUUUCUAAAUAUAAGGUGUAUUAUUUAAAAAAAUCAAACUUGUCUAACUUUGACCGAGUUUGUAGACCUAAAUAUCAAGGUCUAGAAUACCAAAUCAUUAUCACUACAUUCAUCAUGAAAUAUAUUUUUGUAUUUUAUAUAUUUGGUAUUGUAAAUUAUCAUAUAUUUUACUAUAAAGUUGGUCAAACGUGGAUAAGAUUUGACUUUUUUAAAACUAAUACACCUUAUAUUUAGGAACGGAUGGAGUAUUAUAUAGUCUAGGGAAACU
Molecule: long non-coding RNA, 920 nt
Filed under: Hordeum vulgare
Lineage: Eukaryota; Viridiplantae; Streptophyta; Magnoliopsida; Poales; Poaceae
Description: long non-coding RNA (HVUL_LNC013412)
Source: RNAcentral